AAAGAAAGUAGACAGCAGCAUUCUCAGGAGAUUCUUUGUGAUGUUUGCUUUUAAGUCACAGAGUUGAAUAUUCCCUUCAAUAGAGCAGGUUUGAAACACUCUUUCUGUAGUAUCUGGAAGUGGACAUUUCGAUCGAUUUCAGGCCUAUGUUGAAAAAGGAAAUAUCUCUACAUAAAAACUAGACAGAAGCAUUCUCAGAAACGUCUUUGUGAUGUGUGUCCUCAACUAACAGAGUUCAACCUUUCUUAUGAUACAGCAGUUUGGAAACACUCUUUUUAUAGAAUUUGCAUGUUGAUAUAUGGAUAGCCCUAACUAUUUCGUUGGAAACGGGAAUAUCUUCAUAUAAAACCUAGACAGAAACACUCUCAGAAACUACUUUGUGAUAUCUGCAUUGAUAUCAGAGAGUUGAAUAUUCCCUUUCUAAGGGCAGGUUUGAAAGCGUCUUUUUGUGGAAUCUGCAGGAGGAUAUUUGGAUAGCUUUGAGGAUUACGUUGGAAACGGGAUUACAUAUACAAAGUAGACAGCAGCAUUCUCAGAAGCUUCUUUGUGAUGUUUGCUUUUAAGUCACAGAGUUGAACGUUCCCUUUCAUAGAGCAGGUUUCAAACUCUCUUUCUGUAGUAUCUGGAAGUGGAUAUUUCGAGCGCUUUCAGGCCUAUGGUGAACAAGGAAAUAUCUUCCCAUGCAAACUAGACAGAAGCAUUCGCAGAAACUUGUUUGUGAUGUGUGUCCUCAACUCACAGAGUUGAACAUUUCGUUUGACAGAGCAGUUUGGAAACACGAUUUUUGUAGAAUCUGCAAGUGGAUAUUUGGAUGGCUUUGUGGAUUUCGUUG
This 832-nucleotide long non-coding RNA is filed under the name Homo sapiens (human). Its description in RNAcentral is "HSALNT0393250". Lineage: Eukaryota; Metazoa; Chordata; Mammalia; Primates; Hominidae. The record is from RNAcentral.